GAUGAACGCUGGCGGCGUGCCUAAUACAUGCAAGUCGAGCGAACAGACGAGGAGCUUGCUCCUCUGACGUUAGCGGCGGACGGGUGAGUAACACGUGGAUAACCUACCUAUAAGACUGGGAUAACUUCGGGAAACCGGAGCUAAUACCGGAUAAUAUAUUGAACCGCAUGGUUGAAUAGUGAAUGACGGUUUUGCUGUCACUUAUAGAUGGAUCCGCGCCGCAUUAGCUAGUUGGUAAGGUAACGGCUUACCAAGGCAACGAUGCGUAGCCGACCUGUGAGGGGGAUCGGCCACACUGGAACUGAGACACGGUCCAUACUCCUACGGGAGGCAGCAGUAGGGAAUCUUCCGCAAUGGGCGAAAGCUUGACGGAGCAACGCCGCGUGAGUGAUGAAGGUCUUCGGAUCGUAAAACUCUGUUAUUAGUGAAGAACAAAUGUGUAAGUAACUAUGCACGUCUUGACGGUACCUAAUCAGAAAGCCACGGCUAACUACGUG
Molecule: ribosomal RNA, 497 nt
Filed under: uncultured bacterium
Lineage: Bacteria
Description: partial 16S ribosomal RNA
Rfam family: Bacterial small subunit ribosomal RNA
Source: RNAcentral